AACGUAGGUCACAAGCGUUGUCCGGAAUUACUGGGUGUAAAGGGAGCGCAGGCGGGAAGACAAGUUGGAAGUGAAAUCUAUGGGCUCAACCCAUAAACUGCUUUCAAAACUGUUUUUCUUGAGUAGUGCAGAGGUAGGCGGAAUUCCCGGUGUAGCGGUGGAAUGCGUAGAUAUCGGGAGGAACACCAGUGGCGAAGGCGACCUACUGGGCACCAACUGACGCUGAGGCUCGAAAGUGUGGGUAGCAAACAGG
RNAcentral lists this ribosomal RNA (253 nucleotides) under Faecalibacterium prausnitzii. RNAcentral describes it as "partial 16S ribosomal RNA". It matches the Rfam family "Bacterial small subunit ribosomal RNA", at positions 524 to 776 of the family's 1533-position model. Lineage: Bacteria; Bacillati; Bacillota; Clostridia; Eubacteriales; Oscillospiraceae. The record is from RNAcentral.